RNAcentral lists this ribosomal RNA (478 nucleotides) under uncultured bacterium. RNAcentral's name for it is "partial 16S ribosomal RNA". It matches the Rfam family "Bacterial small subunit ribosomal RNA", at positions 28 to 523 of the family's 1533-position model. The record is from RNAcentral.
GACGAACGCUGGCGGCGUGCUUAACACAUGCAAGUCGAACGGUAAGGCCCUUCGAGGUACACGAGUGGCGAACGGGUGAGUAACACGUGGGUGAUCUGCCCUGCACUUCGGGAUAAGCCUGGGAAACUGGGUCUAAUACCGGAUAGGACCACUGCCUGCAUGGGUGGUGGUGGAAAGCUUUUGCGGUGUGGGAUGGGCCCGCGGCCUAUCAGCUUGUUGGUGGGGUGAUGGCCUACCAAGGCGACGACGGGUAGCCGGCCUGAGAGGGUGACCGUCCACACUGGGACUGAGAUACGGCCCAGACUCCUACGGGAGGCAGCAGUGGGGAAUAUUGCACAAUGGGCGCAAGCCUGAUGCAGCGACGCCGCGUGAGGGAUGACGGCCUUCGGGUUGUAAACCUCUUUCAGCACCGACGAAGCGCAAGUGACGGUAGGUGCAGAAGAAGGACCGGCCAACUACGUGCCAGCCGCCGCCGUAA